CCCGGAAGCGUUGCGGCCGCUUUGCCUGACCAACGUCUGUGGGUGUGGAGCAGGCAUUGGGUUCUCCUACUGGGAAAAAUGAAGUAUGUUGAUGGUCUGGAAAAAUGUGAAGUCAUUUCCUGGUAGUCCUUCAUUCUACCUCGUGGAGAAGAGAAUUUGAAGGAUCACGAGAACUUGAAGAAUUUUUCAACAACAUAGAGCUCACGAAUCAAAUUCUCCAGUCAGAUGAUGUCGUAUUUAUCAAGAGAUCUAGCAAUGAAAGAGUUACCUCUAUUAAGGAAACCCAAUGCCCUCGGGAAUUCCUUCUGCUGCUUUGUCCUUCGCAAGAUCAACUGAAGUUCUCUACCUGUGUAAAAAGGCUGAAUUUCAGGUAAGGAAAGAAAGUUAAACUGCUUUGGUUUUUGAAUGAUUUUCUUGUUUAAAUAUAAAGUUUAAGUAUAAUGACAUUUUUAAAUUUCUAAAAUUAAUUUCACUCAAAGAUAGCAUAACAAUGUUAAGGAAAAGGAAAUAAUAAUCCAGUCAUCUAUGUUACUGUUGCUAACACAAUAAUUUUUAUUAAUGCAUAUUAUCUUCCCAUGUAUUUAUAUUCAUAUUUUACAUAUAUUGUGAUGAUAUUCAUAUAGCUUUUUUUUAUAUUCCAGAAACUGCUACUUACUUGAUACUGACAAUGAUGACUUUUCUAUAUCCCUUUGUAUAGAUAGGGAUAUACUUUUGCUUUUCUUCUUCCACCUACUCAGAACCUUCACUUCCUCACUUCCUCACCCCUA
Long non-coding RNA from Cebus imitator (Panamanian white-faced capuchin), 767 nucleotides. RefSeq lists it as uncharacterized. The transcript is spliced from 3 exons. The record is from RefSeq and is a predicted model, not a curated record. Lineage: Eukaryota; Metazoa; Chordata; Mammalia; Primates; Cebidae.